This 270-nucleotide ribosomal RNA is filed under the name uncultured prokaryote. Its description in RNAcentral is "partial 16S ribosomal RNA". It matches the Rfam family "Archaeal small subunit ribosomal RNA", at positions 455 to 724 of the family's 1478-position model. The record is from RNAcentral.
GUGUCAGCCGCCGCGGUAAUACCGGCAGCCCAAGUGAUGGCCGAUCUUAUUGGGCCUAAAGCGUCCGUAGCUGGCCGCGCAAGUCCAUCGGGAAAUCCACCUGCUCAACAGGUGGGCGCCCGGUAGAAACUGCGUGGCUUGGGACCGGAAGGCGCGACGGGUACAUCCGGGGUAGGAGUGAAAUCCCGUAAUCCUGGACGGACCGCCGAUGGCGAAAGCACGUCGCGAGAACGGAUCCGACAGUGAGGGACGAAAGCCAGGGUCUCGAAC